RNAcentral lists this ribosomal RNA (440 nucleotides) under uncultured bacterium. RNAcentral's name for it is "bacterial SSU rRNA". It matches the Rfam family "Bacterial small subunit ribosomal RNA", at positions 338 to 795 of the family's 1533-position model. The record is from RNAcentral.
CCUACGGGAGGCAGCAGUGAGGAAUAUUGAGCAAUGGGCGCAAGCCUGACUCAGCAACGCCGCGUGGAGGAAGACGGCCUUCGGGUUGUAAACUCCUUUUCUGCGGGACGAUGAUGACGGUACCGCAGGAACAAGUUCCGGCUAACUACGUGCCAGCAGCCGCGGUAAAACGUAGGGGACAAGCGUUAUCCGGAUUUACUGGGCGUAAAGCGCCCGUAGGCGGCUAUGUAAGUUGGCUGUGAAAGCUCCCGGCUUAACUGGGAGAGGUCAGUCAAAACUGUGUAGCUAGAGGCUGAGAUAGGCGAGCGGAAUUCCCGGUGUAGUGGUGGAAUGCGUAGAGAUCGGGAGGAACACCAGUGGCGCAAGCGGCUCGCUGGUUCAGCCCUGACGCUGAGGGGCGAAAGCGUGGGGAGCGAACGGGAUUAGAUACCCCAGUAGUC